Long non-coding RNA from Thalassophryne amazonica, 470 nucleotides. RefSeq lists it as uncharacterized. The transcript is spliced from 4 exons. Lineage: Eukaryota; Metazoa; Chordata; Actinopteri; Batrachoidiformes; Batrachoididae. The record is from RefSeq and is a predicted model, not a curated record.
CAAUCAAUGUGCUUGGAUAUGAAGUAGGUGUAAAUGUGUAGGUGUUAAAUUGCAGGUGUCUGUGUGUCCAUCAGGUUGUUAAAGACACAGUCGUUGGAGUGGUUCUACAAUAAUGUGAAGAAGCGCUUUAAGAGGUUCGGCAGUGCCAAAGUGCUGAAAACGUUUUACAGGAAGCACUUGGUGGAGCACAGCACGCUUUCUGAAUUGACAGACGGCAGCACCUACGAGGAAAGUGUCUACAAUGAGGGCAGCAUUUGUGGCAGUGACUCGUUCUUCUACAGACAAAGUGAAGAGCACAGCAUGGAGGAGAUGUUCAGUGUGGCCUUGCGGGUUGCAGAGGAGGCCAUAGAUGAGGCAAUUUCCAAGGCCAACUUUGAAGUUGGCACUCAGGAGCAGCUGGAUGAAGCACAGUACCUGCAGGAGCACAGAGCAGAGCUUAUUGAACAGUGGCCAAAACCAUUGUGCAAAAA